Molecule: ribosomal RNA, 255 nt
Filed under: uncultured bacterium
Lineage: Bacteria
Description: partial 16S ribosomal RNA
Rfam family: Bacterial small subunit ribosomal RNA
Source: RNAcentral
UACGUAGGUGGCAAGCGUUUGUCCGGAUUUACUGGGCGUAAAGAGCGCGCAGGCGGUCGUUCAAGUCGCGUGUGAAAGCCCCCGGCUCAACUGGGGAGGGUCACGCGAUACUGAUCGACUCGAAGGCAGGAGAGGGAAGUGGAAUUCCCGGUGUAGUGGUGAAAUGCGUAGAUAUCGGGAGGAACACCAGUGGCGAAGGCGACUUCCUGGCCUGUUCUUGACGCUGAGGCGCGAAAGCUAGGGGAGCAAACGGGG